Molecule: ribosomal RNA, 618 nt
Filed under: uncultured bacterium
Lineage: Bacteria
Description: bacterial SSU rRNA
Rfam family: Bacterial small subunit ribosomal RNA (bases 1-517)
Source: RNAcentral
CCUACGGGAGGCAGCAGUGGGGAAUAUUGGACAAUGGGCGAAAGCCUGAUCCAGCAAUGCCGCGUGAGUGAUGAAGGCCUUAGGGUUGUAAAGCUCUUUUACCAGGGAUGAUAAUGACAGUACCUGGAGAAUAAGCUCCGGCUAACUCCGUGCCAGCAGCCGCGGUAAUACGGAGGGAGCUAGCGUUGUUCGGAAUUACUGGGCGUAAAGCGUACGUAGGCGGUUAUUCAAGUCAGAGGUGAAAGCCCGGGGCUCAACCCCGGAACUGCCUUUGAAACUAGAUAGCUAGAAUCUUGGAGAGGUUAGUGGAAUUCCGAGUGUAGAGGUGAAAUUCGUAGAUAUUCGGAAGAACACCAGUGGCGAAGGCGACUAACUGGACAAGUAUUGACGCUGAGGUACGAAAGCGUGGGGAGCAAACAGGAUUAGAUACCCUGGUAGUCCACGCCGUAAACGAUGAUAACUAGUUGUUCGGGCACUUGGUGCCUGAGUGACGCAGCUACGCAUUAAGUUAUCCGUCCGUCGGGUAGGUACGGUCGGCGAGAAGUUAAAACGUUAAAAGGUAAAGUUAGACGGCGUGUAAGACGUGUUCCGAACGGACGACGACGAGGGGAGGUUAGG